CUGGAAUCGCUAGUAAUCGCGAAUCAGAAUGUCGCGGUGAAUACGUUCCCGGGUCUUGUACACACCGCCCGUCACACCAUGGGAGUCGGAAAUGCCCGAAGUCAGUGACCCAACCGUAAGGAGGGAGCUGCCGAAGGUGGAGCCGGUAACUGGGGUGAAGUCGUAACAAGGUAUC
Molecule: ribosomal RNA, 175 nt
Filed under: uncultured bacterium
Lineage: Bacteria
Description: partial 16S ribosomal RNA
Rfam family: Bacterial small subunit ribosomal RNA
Source: RNAcentral